RNAcentral lists this ribosomal RNA (252 nucleotides) under uncultured bacterium. RNAcentral's name for it is "partial 16S ribosomal RNA". It matches the Rfam family "Bacterial small subunit ribosomal RNA", at positions 524 to 776 of the family's 1533-position model. The record is from RNAcentral.
UACGGAGGAUGCGAGCGUUAUCCGGAUUUAUUGGGUUUAAAGGGUGCGUAGGCGGACUGUCAAGUCAGCGGUAAAAUUGAGAGGCUCAACCUCUUCCCGCCGUUGAAACUGGUGGUCUUGAGUGGAUGAGAAGUACGCGGAAUGCGUGGUGUAGCGGUGAAGUGCAUAGAUAUCACGCAGAACUCCGAUUGCGAAGGCAGCGUACCGGCAUCCAACUGACGCUGAAGCACGAAGGCGUGGGUAUCGAACAGG